GCAAAUUGACACCGUAACUUCGGGAGAAGGUGUGCCGCUGGCGGUUAGUGACUUCGCGUCACGAAGCUGUCGGUGGUCGCAGUGAAAUGGCGGUUGUGACUGUUUACUAAAAACACAGGACUCUGCGAAGUCGUAAGACGACGUAUAGGGUCUGAUGCCUGCCCGGUGCUGGAAGGUUAAGGGGAUAUGUCAGCGCAAGCGAAGCAUUGAACCGAAGCCCCAGUAAACGGCGGCCGUAACCAUAACGGUCCUAAGGUAGCGAAAUUCCUUGUCGGGUAAGUUCCGACCUGCACGGGCAUAACAACAUCCGCACUGUCUCGACCAGGGACUCAGCGAAAUUACAUUGGGGGUGAAGAUGCCCUCUACCCGCGGAAAGACGGAAAGACCCCAUGAACCUUUACUGCAACUUGGCAGUGAUUUUCGGGUUGUUCUGCGUAGGAUAGGUGGGAGGCUUUGAAGCCGGGCUUCCGGGUUCGGCAGAGCCAACGUUGAAAUACCACCCUGAAUAAUCUGGAAAUCUAACCUGCGCCCAUGAUCUGGGCGAGGGACACUGCCUGGUGGGCAGUUUGACUGGGGCGGUCGCCUCCUAAAUUGUAACGGAGGCGUGCGACGGUUCCCUCAGGCUGAUUGGAAACCAGCCGUAGAGUGCAAACGCAUAAGGGAGCUUUACUGCGAGACUGACAAGUCGAACAGUUGCGAAAGCAGGUGUUAGUGAUCCGGUGGUACCACAUGGAAGGGCCAUCGCUCAUCGGAUAAAAGGUACUCUGGGGAUAACAGGCUGAUCGCGCCUGAGAGUUCACAUCGGCGGCGCGGUUUGGCACCUCGAUGUUGUCUCAUCGCAUCCUGGGGCUGGAGCAGGUCCCAAGGGUUUGGCUGUUCGCCAAUUAAAGCGGUACGCGAGCUGGGUUUAAAACGUCGUGAGACAGUUUGGUCCCUAUCUUCCGUGGGCGCAGGACACUUGAGAGGAGCUAUCCAUAGUACGAGAGGACCUGGAUGGACGAACCUCUGGUGCUCCGGUUGUCACGCCAGUGGCAUAGCCGGGUAGCCAUGUUCGGAACAGAUAACCGCUGAAGGCAUAUAAGCGGGAAGCUGGCCUCAAGACUAGGUGUCCCUGACGCAAGUCACUAAAGGCCCCUCGAAGACUACGAGGUUGAUAGGCUCGGUGUGGAAGCGCUGCGAGGCGUGGAGCUAACGAGUACUAAUAGGCCGUGCGACUUGACCUC
Molecule: ribosomal RNA, 1223 nt
Filed under: metagenome
Description: bacterial LSU rRNA
Rfam family: Bacterial large subunit ribosomal RNA
Source: RNAcentral